GUCUUGAACCAGAAUGGCCUCCAUCGUGAGUUGCCACAAGCCGAAGUUGACAUUUCUGUCGAAUUUCUCGACAACAAUCUUUGUUAUUGUCAUCGUUGCCAAAAGAUCCCAGAACCAGGCUCUGAUACCAGUUUGUUAGAGCUAGCCCCAUGAAAUUUACCACAAGGUAAUUUUGACAACCCAACAAGACAAUAAAAUGAAAAGAUAAAAGCGAGACAAGAACACCAGAACACCAGAUAUACGUGGUUCGGUCAAUUGACUUUGACCUACAUCCACGGACGAAAGAGGAGCAAUUACUACUGCAAAAGAGGGACAAUUACAAAUGCCUUAGGAAGAUGU
RNAcentral lists this long non-coding RNA (339 nucleotides) under Musa acuminata (dwarf banana). RNAcentral describes it as "long non-coding RNA (MACU_LNC009457)". The record is from RNAcentral. Lineage: Eukaryota; Viridiplantae; Streptophyta; Magnoliopsida; Zingiberales; Musaceae.